This 799-nucleotide long non-coding RNA is filed under the name Struthio camelus australis. RNAcentral's name for it is "lncRNA (ENSSCUG00000004075.1)". Lineage: Eukaryota; Metazoa; Chordata; Aves; Struthioniformes; Struthionidae. The record is from RNAcentral.
ACAUGAGUGAGUUGGAGGGGAGGGAAACGAAUCAUUCCGCAAAGGUUCGUCACUUGUGACAUGAAAGCAGAGGUAUGUUUCUUCCCGUUGUUUUAGGAACGCUUGGUCUCCCCAUGCAACGCCAGCGCUUCUCAAAUGACACAAUCUGAUCGGCUAUUGUUACAGGAAGGAGACGUGAUGGGAAAGAAGAUUCUCUCAUUGGUGCUCAUCUGUACAGUGGCCGGUGCUGCUGGGGAAUGUGUGCUGCCAUUGAGAAUGAGUGACAGCUGUCAUUAGGGCUUUCAGAUGGAGGCUGCAGUCACCUGCUUGCUGAGCAAGAGCAAGGAAACUAAACCACCAGAAGAACCAGCUUCUCAGCCAGCUGAUUUAAAACUGUCUUUUGAGACCAGCUGGGGAUGUGGACAGAGACAUCUUCUGCAAACACUGGAGCAGGGUAAGAGAAAGUGUUUAUUUAUUGCCCCCUCUUUCAGUGUCUUUCCUGUUGCAAAUGAGUGCUUGCUCCCUUUGAGUCAGAGCAGGUAGUCUGUAUCUCAGAAGGUUGCCUGCACCUCUCAUAAGUCUAAUGCUUCAGGAGCACAGAUCUUUAUGGAGUAAAUCCUUGGAAAGUGGCCCAGAGCCCAAGGGAGGGCUGGGGGAACUGCAGGGGUCACUGUGGGAGGGGAGGAGAACCAUGGAGCAGUCAGGCAGCGGGACAGAGGCGGGCUUGGGGAUAGACUGCCUCUUACUGCUACCAAGUCCUGGGUCCUCAGCUGGGCUCUGGGAUCUAGGUAAUAAACCACUCUAACCUAAGAGCGGGUCA